RNAcentral lists this ribosomal RNA (274 nucleotides) under uncultured bacterium. RNAcentral describes it as "partial 16S ribosomal RNA". It matches the Rfam family "Bacterial small subunit ribosomal RNA", at positions 523 to 796 of the family's 1533-position model. The record is from RNAcentral.
AUACGGAGGGUCCAAGCGUUAUCCGGAAUCAUUGGGUUUAAAGGGUCCGCAGGCGGUCAAUUAAGUCAGAGGUGAAAGCCCAUCGCUCAACGAUGGAACUGCCUUUGAUACUGGUUGACUUGAGUUAUACGGAAGUAGAUAGAAUAAGUAGUGUAGCGGUGAAAUGCAUAGAGAUUACUUAGAAUACCGAUUGCGAAGGCAGUCUACUACGUAUAUACUGACGCUGAGGGACGAAAGCGUGGGGAGCGAACAGGAUUAGAAACCCUAGUAGUCC